This 455-nucleotide ribosomal RNA is filed under the name uncultured organism. Its description in RNAcentral is "bacterial SSU rRNA". It matches the Rfam family "Bacterial small subunit ribosomal RNA", at positions 346 to 794 of the family's 1533-position model. The record is from RNAcentral.
GCGCAGCAGUCGAGAAUUUUUCUCAAUGGGCGAAAGCCUGAAGGAGCGACGCCGCGUGGGGGAUGAAUGGCUUCGGCCCGUAAACCCCUGUCAUUUGUGAACAAAUUGCUUCACCUAACACGUGAAGCAUUGAUUGUAACGGAAGAGGAAGGGACGGCUAACUCUGUGCCAGCAGCCGCGGUAAUACAGAGGUCCCAAGCGUUGUUCGGAUUCACUGGGCGUAAAGGGUGCGUAGGCGGUUUGAUAAGUCUGAUGUGAAAUCCCGCAGCUUAACUGCGGAACUGCAUUGGAAACUGUUUGACUAGAGGAAUGGAGGGGAGACUGGAAUACUUGGUGUAGCAGUGAAAUGCGUAGAUAUCAAGUGGAACACCAGUGGCGAAGGCGAGUCUCUGGACAUUUCCUGACGCUGAGGUACGAAAGCCAGGGGAGCAAACGGGAUUAGAUACCCGUGUAGU